AUGUCCAUCAGCCCCUGCGCAUGGAUCUUGAAGCUCUUUAUCUGUCCUCCCAGCAGAGCCAUGCUGGUUGAAGUUUCCUUCCUGCCCUUUACCACUGUUGUCUCCUUGUUUGAUGUUCUGGGACAAAUGGCCAAGCCGGAUCUGUUAGAACUCCUGGGCAGUGGCUUUGUAGCAGAAGAUGCCCCCACCCCCAGAGUAAAACCAAGAUUUGGAUCCUGUCUCAAACAUCCUGGCCUGUGGAGAGCUGGGGGAAUGUCUUCCUCCUGACCCUUGCCACUCUGUGGCCUCUGCAGGCAAUGCCGACCUCACACAGACACCUCGAAGCACGGGCAUACUACUGUCUAGACUUAUUACAGGUCUGCAGGAGGAAGCAAGGCAUCGGAUUAAACCUGAGGAGAAAUGUGGCGCUGACUGUCUUGGCCCAAGAGGAUUGCAUUAUGUUAAUUAACCCCUUGUGACAGUAAACGUCAAAAGCUGAAUAAGAGACAUUAUUAGCCUGGCA
RNAcentral lists this long non-coding RNA (502 nucleotides) under Chinchilla lanigera (long-tailed chinchilla). RNAcentral's name for it is "lncRNA (ENSCLAG00000023614.1)". The record is from RNAcentral. Lineage: Eukaryota; Metazoa; Chordata; Mammalia; Rodentia; Chinchillidae.